RNAcentral lists this ribosomal RNA (800 nucleotides) under Bacillus sp. Mg11(2012). RNAcentral's name for it is "bacterial SSU rRNA". It matches the Rfam family "Bacterial small subunit ribosomal RNA", at positions 57 to 836 of the family's 1533-position model. Lineage: Bacteria; Bacillati; Bacillota; Bacilli; Caryophanales; Bacillaceae. The record is from RNAcentral.
GCAAGUCGAGCGGACCAACGAGGAGCUUGCUCCUCAGAGGUCAGCGGCGGACGGGUGAGUAACACGUGGGCAACCUGCCUGUAAGACUGGGAUAACUCCGGGAAACCGGGGCUAAUACCGGAUAACAUCUUCCUCUGCAUAGAGGAGGAUUAAAAGAUGGCUUCGGCUAUCACUUACAGAUGGGCCCGCGGCGCAUUAGCUAGUUGGUGGGGUAAGAGCCUACCAAGGCGACGAUGCGUAGCCGACCUGAGAGGGUGAUCGGCCACACUGGGACUGAGACACGGCCCAGACUCCUACGGGAGGCAGCAGUAGGGAAUCUUCGGCAAUGGACGAAAGUCUGACCGAGCAACGCCGCGUGAGUGAGGAAGGCCUUCGGGUCGUAAAGCUCUGUUGUUAGGGAAGAACAAGUACCGUUCGAACAGGGCGGUACCUUGACGGUACCUAACCAGAAAGCCACGGCUAACUACGUGCCAGCAGCCGCGGUAAUACGUAGGUGGCAAGCGUUGUCCGGAAUUAUUGGGCGUAAAGCGCGCGCAGGCGGUCUCUUAAGUCUGAUGUGAAAGCCCACGGCUCAACCGUGGAGGGUCAUUGGAAACUGGGGGACUUGAGUACUGGAGAGGAGAGUGGAAUUCCAUGUGUAGCGGUGAAAUGCGUAGAUAUAUGGAGGAACACCAGUGGCGAAGGCGGCUCUCUGGCCAGUAACUGACGCUGAGGCGCGAAAGCGUGGGGGAGCAAACAGGAUUAGAUACCCUGGUAGUCCACGCCGUAAACGAUGAGUGCUAGGUGUUGGGGGGUUCCAC